AGACGACGCUGGCGGCGUGCCUAACACAUGCAAGUCGAGCGGAGAUAGACUGAUGGUAACUGAAGUUUGUCUUAGCGGCGGACGGGUGAGUAACACGUGGGCAACCUGCCUUGGAGUGGGGGAUAACACCGGGAAAUCGGUGCUAAUACCGCAUAACAUACACAAACUGCAUGGUAAGUGUAUCAAAGGAGCAAUCCGCUUUAAGAUGGGCCCGCGGCUGAUUAGCUAGUUGGUAAGGUAACGGCUUACCAAGGCGACGAUCAGUAGCCGACCUGAGAGGGUGACCGGCCACACUGGAACUGAGACACGGUCCAGACUCCUACGGGAGGCAGCAGUGGGGAAUAUUGCGCAAUGGGGGAAACCCUGACGCAGCAACGCCGCGUGGAGGAAGAAGGUCUUCGGAUUGUAAACUCCUGUCUUCUGGGACGAAGUAUGACGGUACCAGAGGAGGAAGCCACGGCUAACUACGUG
RNAcentral lists this ribosomal RNA (471 nucleotides) under uncultured bacterium. Its description in RNAcentral is "bacterial SSU rRNA". It matches the Rfam family "Bacterial small subunit ribosomal RNA", at positions 33 to 507 of the family's 1533-position model. The record is from RNAcentral.